CCACUCUAUAGCCACAAAUAAUGCUCAGAACAGCACCUAACUUCAUCAACAGGACAUAUAGGGUCACAGACAUAGUACUAGACACCAAACAUCUUUUUAACUUUGACUCAUUUCUUUAGCAAAGAGACUAAACACAACUCACCUACUCUCUUCCAGCAGACGCUUGUUUGUAGUGAGACCUCAGGCCAGGCCAUUACGGACUACAGCGGGGUGCCGCAGCUCAAGGAAGAACAAUUAUGAUCAUUUCUUUAUCAUUUCCUUGAAGUAAUAAUCAUCAUAUUAAUCCUUUUGCUCUGCAGACGCAGUAGUUCUUCUGCCUUAGCGUCUCGGUCUGAUUGUGUUUCCAUGAAGAAAUGAUCAUAAAUGUUCUUCCUUGAGCUGCGGCACCCCGCUGUAGUCGAUGGACUCGCCCAGGGUUUCCGUACAAACAAGCGGCUGCUGGAAGAGAGUAGGUGACUACUGUAUUUCUAUCCUCGGUCGUUACUAAAGUUACUAAAGAAGCAAGCGGUCGGCAACAUUUACUGUAUCUCUCGACGGGGUGUCUAACUCGAUGUUACGGUGUGUUUGACCAUAACUGAAUUUUAUGCUUGGAUAUCCCUUUAUUGCUAGAAAGAGCCACACAGCUGCAUGGAAAUUGCACAUUGCUGAACACACGAUUUCUUCAAGCAGAUCUUAACAGAUAACAGAUUACUUGUUCAAUGUUCUUUUGCAGUUACAAGUGAUUGUGAAAACAUACCUCUGUGUCCUCUUAUCUUAUCUUUUACAGUAAGAAAUGUUUUUCAGUAAUGUACCGGCCGAGAUACCUGCAACAAUAUUUCUACAAAAGAAGAUAUUUCAAGGAUCGCUGUAUCGCACUUUCAGCUGGACUCUCUUUAAGAUCCUCCGAUCAAGCACACAAGUGAACUCUACUGUAUAUAGUUGUCAGUAUUCUUGGACAAGCCUGUUUGUUAUUCAAGAAAACAUGUUCCUCUGAAUAUUUACAGUGAGAGGGCUGUGAUUGACCUUUUAACUGAAAUAGCUCUCCUAAUGAGAUGCUAUCGAUUAGUUUAUGCAAUUAUCCUCCCUGCAGUCUAUUAGGUAAUCAAGACUCUGUGUGUGUGUGUGUGUGUGUGUGUGUGUGUGUGUGUGUGUGUGUGUGUGUGUGUGUGUGUGUGUGUGUGUGUGUCUACAAGGCUGCGUGUCACGAGGUAAGGAGGUGACUUAGACAUGAAGGUGUUUGCUGCAGCCGCAGAUUUAACCCUCAGUUGGAUAAUUGUUAGCGAUUAGCCACAACAUAAUUAUUGGAUUCCAACAAAACAGGAGUGGAUGUGUCACAGGCCCUGAGAGGUCGAGCUUUUCUCCAACCUGUUUACACGUUUCCAUUCAUGAGACAGCUGCUGAUGAAUGAGUGCUGAUGGAAAUAAGCCCCCGCUGGAGUCAUUACUCCAAACUUGUCAAUACGCCUGAUCACUUCUCAAGGAAACUUCGUUUCAGUCGUGUGUGUUUACGCUCGAGAUCGUCAGGUGGGACAUGUCCCUGACUGAGGAGGACAACCCGUCUCAGACGUGUUCUUACAGUAGAAGCUUUUACACUUACUCAUACUUUAUUUCACACAUGCUCUUUAGUGAGUCCUUUAUUUUGUGUUGAAGUUGAUGUUCUUUCAUUUUGGAGUAUUCACCGACACAAACCCCUUUGCAAGUUUACCUGUUUUUUGACUUUCAGAGUUCCCCAUUUAGUUGAAAAAAUCAGCCACUAGGGGGCGCCCCCCCUGCUUAUUUUCAGAUUUUCAACCAAAACAGGGUGCAAACAUUUCUGCCCACAAAAAACAAAGAUUUAUUCAACAGUCUGAAUAAUUUGUAUGAUUAUUAAUAAAUAGUUUUUAAGGUUUCUGUAAAUAUUAUGUUGCUGAAACUUUCUUUCUUUCCUCUCGAAAUUAGGGCAGCGAGGGGGAGGUAGAGCGUGCAGUAAGGUGACCAGAUGUCCCUGAUUUUCGGGGACAGUCCCCAUUUUGGAGGACCUGUCCCUGGAUAUGUCCCUGAUUUUAGCAUUUCAUGAAUGAGAAAAACAUGUUGCGUAUAGACUACAACAACGGUUACUAUGGUAGCCGAGUAGGUAGGAAGCGCAAGUAAGCAUGUUGCACACAGUCCUGAACAAUGAACAACAGUUUUUUUGGGGGGGUUAUUAUGGGGGGCAUGCGCUGCUACCGAGUAGUACCCCCGCUCUCCAGAAGUAGUGGGCCUAAAAUCACAUUUUGCUUGGCACCCCCCACCCCCUGGAUGUCCCCGGAUUUCAUUGCAGAAAUCUGGUCCCCUUAGCAUGCAGUCUAACUUUGUGAAACUAAAAUCAAGCUCAAACAGGUUCCUGAAGCAGGCUCUGUCCGCUCUGUUUUCUUUAACUUCUCUCCACCGACUCCCCUUCUAGUAUUUGUCUCUUCUCCUCCCUUUAAAGUGGGAGGAUAUGGGGAGGUAGAGCGUACAGCCUAACCAAUCAGGAGCAGCUUUAGCAGGCUUUUUGCCCUGACCUUUAUGGAUCAUUACGAGGUUCCAGUAAAUCACUUUUAUUCCACUGAUGCAUGGACACGUAUCUCCUACAUUAUAAACUACUUUUUAAAAAAAGAAAAAUGAAUACUUAAUGAUUUUAAAGUUCACGCGCUACACAUCUGCAUAAAUCUGCACAUUGCUGAACACAGUUUUAAACUUUCCACCCUCCUGAGAGUCUGCGGUAAUAAAGUAAAUAUUUUGAUUCUUAUAUUUUUCUACUCUGACAAACUUUUCAGUUUUUCCUGAUAUUUGUUCUGACUGAAAACACUUUCAGCAGCUUCAUCACCAAAUCUAAGGUUCAGGAUUGUUCAGCCUGUAAGCUCGCCUGACGACUCCCUCUCUGCCGCCGUGUUGUUUCAAAUUUUGAAUGUGAAAAUGAAAGUUGUCAAACUCCUCACCGAGACAUUUUCCUGCCAAAUAUGUGCAGCUGUAAUCCAGUUAUUGGUUCUGACCUGGUCUGAACUUCUGCUGUCCAGGAAAAAAAAACAAUCAGGGAAAGAAAACAUCAGGCUGAGAUUGACAGAGUAAAAACAUUUUCCAAUUACAGUACACGGUCUCUCACCUCCUUUAAUCCAUCUGACUGGUGACACUGUGGAUUUUUUACACGAUUAAAUAGGUUUCUGUGUUGUCAGCCAUUCCUGUGUGACCCCACGCACCUUCCUCACAACCCGCGGGCGUUAAAAAAAAACACACAUCUACAGUAAAAUCACGGCGUGCACCUCGGCAUCACCUCUUAUUCCCCAGCCCGGCAGCAGCACGCUGACAGGCGGCAUCACAGUUCAUUAUGUCUGUGCAGGAACAGGCUGCAAAGGGCCAGACAGACGCUCUCGCCGAAUUUCACCAUCCAGACCUGUCAGUGAAAUUAGAACAGACGCUGACAACUUCCCGGAGAGUUAUUUUUAUGUUUUUCAUUUCAAACUCGUCGGUGAAAAUGGCAGAAGUUUAAAUAACACUGACACGGGUUUCAGGACAUGUGUUUUGUUUGUUAAAGUCACGUUUCUACCCUGAAGCAGCGUUUGUUUUCAAGGCCUGUUUUUAUGUUCACUCGUUCAUCACUGUCACUGACUUCAAAGUUAAAUUCUCUUAACCAUCAAGCAAAACAUGGAAACUAGCGGCUCCGAUCUCUGAACAUGAAUCUUUACACUCAUAAUUUUCUUCAUAUGUCGCUUUUUCCCACUGCGCUUGUAGAGUUCCCUAAACAAACGUAAUAACUGACAGCUUGAAUCUGAGAUCUCACUUUCUCCACGUGUUAAACGUUUCUCUGUUGAGCUUCUUACACCCCUGCCAAACAAACAUGCUUUAGAUCUGUGCUUUGAGUUCCUUUUUUAUCCGUCAAGUCGCAUCCAGGUAGUAUAGGAAACUCUGCAUUUCACUGGGAUUAAUGUUUAAAGUUUCUGUAUAUGUAUAUUGGUCACAAGCCAUAUUAGGGCCUCAUUAAGGCUUUGAGAUUAAAGUCAUUACGAAUGAGAAUAAAGUCUUAAUAAAAUCAUUACUUAUGAGAAUUUAGUCUUAUGAGAGUAAAGUCAGAAUGAAGUCCUUAUACUCUAACCUGUAUAAUGAUUCUAUCACAACUUUAUUCUCGGAAGAAAUUACUUUAUUCUCGUAAGUUAACGACUUUAAUCUCUAAGUCUUAGUUUUUUUUUUGUUUUCUUCAUGUGGCACUAAUACUCCGUCAUAGUUUUGUAUCAUACAUCUAUAACUGGUUAUUUUCCAGAGGAAAGACUUGGGUUGUUUGACAAGUUUUGGGCAAUGUUACAAUGAAGCAGCAACUGCUGGUCUUGAGGAAGUGUUAAAAACUGCAGUUCCAUGAGUGUCCACUUGAGGCUGGCUGCAGAAACACCUGAAACCACAUACACAUGAACUCAAAAAGCCAGUUUUUAGAAACACGUUUAAAAGCUGGUUUGAGAAACUGUUUUAAUCCGGAUAGCUCAGGUCUGACUGUAGGCGAAGUGAGCUUCUUACACCCCUGCCAAUGUUGGUGCUCCCAUUCGACCCCUGUCUAAAAAGUCGGGACACACCCCUGGAUGCGUGCAACAAUAAAUGCUAUGAUAGAAACGCCAAAUCCUGCAAAUCUGGAACUAAAUGUUCGUAACUGAAUAUAAUGAUAAUAAAAUAAAUGAAUCGUGGGUGUUAAAGAGUCUUAUUUUCCUAAAUGUAGGUACAAAAUCAGCUGAGAUUGUACAGUUUGAAUCCAAACUUUAGAUCAAUCAAAAGCGGUCUUCUGACUGUCAGCUCUGAUAUUCUGAUCCGACACGUCUCUCCGGAGCACGGGGCCGUUUUUGUGUGUUUUUAAUUUAAACUUUGGGCUGAGGGAAUAAAGUCUACCUUAUUGCACCGUGGCGUCUUCAGAUCAAAUGCAGAGGCUGCGUUUCUGCUCGGCCCCCAAGACUCAAUUGAAGAGAUCUGAGAGUGCUGCUCAUUAAAGUAGGCGUUAAUUUGAGUUUGUUAACCAGCCUGGCGCGGCUUUCAUCUCGUUUUGAGACAGAAACAUCUUGCUGAAGUUGACAGGAAAGGAAGUUUUCUGUUAAAAGUCAGAGGCUGGAUCUUUGCCGGCGUGGAUGGAUUGUGAAAGCAGGGUGAAGGAGUCAGGCAGACAUUUUUCAGAAGUCCUUUUUUUAAUUAACUUUUAGAGGCUUUGAAGUGUGUUGAGUGAAGUGUGCGUCCAUGUCUGAGAGGAUGAGGGUAUUAAAGGGUCCAACGUCCCCUGAGAGACGGGGUCAUAAUGGGGUGUUUUUGAAGUUUUGACAUCCUUAUGUCAUUACGGUUAUUAUCAACAAAACUCAACUCAACUUCACGGCUUCUUUCAAACAUGCGGCCCCGUCUCACCUGGCAAAAUUAAUGCUGAAAUAUGACCAAGACACUUCAGAAGGAGAACAAAUUCUACUAAAGUGAACAAAACAACAACAUCAGACUGGGAACAGAAAUCAGUAAAAAGUACAAAUCAAAAUUCAAACUCUUAAAAGAAGUUGUAAAAAUGUUUUAUAAACUUUUAGUUGGGGUUCAAAAUGAUAGUUAUGUAAAGUAGAACGAACAAUGAGGGGUGUUUAUUCAGAUUAGACUUCCGACUGGUGUGGUGAGUCAUGGCCAAUCAGAAACGAGCAUUUAACACAACCAGUAAAUAAAACAGAAAAUUAAAUACAGGAGUCCUACACAGUUGUAACUUUUCCAUACUUUUCCAUACACUACUUUUUAGUGUUAUUCUUGUUAAUAACUCAUUUUCUGUUUUAGAACAGUGGUAUUUUAGAUUUGUGGUAAUAAUCUGGAAACAAAUAUUUUUCCAUUCUCUAUUUUUCAUUUUCAAUACUUCUUAAGACCUGGAAACUGAUCAAAUUUAUUUCCAUACUUUUCCAUACUAGUGCAGGAACCCUGUAAAUAUGAGUAAUUUUAAACUGUAAAGUGGAAAAACAGAUAAAUGAAUGAAUGAUCACAUUUAUGUAACAAUGUGGAGCAUUAAUCAAACAUAAAUGCACUUUUUAGUGUUUUUUCACAAUAAUUUGUUUUAUAUUUUUGAUGAAAAUUAGUUUUUAAAUUCUAAUUUUCAUGUAAUUAUUUUUAUAAAUCCACACCUAUGACUCUCUAACUGUAAAUAUACUUAUUAAUAAGUGUUUUUUUUUCACAAUAAUUAAUUAUAUAUUUUUUAUGAAAACUGAAGAUAAGUUUUUAAAUUCUAAUUUUCAUGUUAUUAUUAUUAUUUUUUUAAUAAAUCCACGCCUUUGACUCCAUAACUUCACUGUAAACAUACUUUGACAAAGGUGUCUCUGUAUAAUGCAGCUUUAUGUAUAAAACAUAUACAGCAUAUAAAAAGCUUCUUUCAUGGUGGCACAUCCAGAGCUGCUGUGGUGACUGUGUUAACAUCAGUGUCUUAUUUACACAUGGAGCAGACACACACACACACACACACACACGCUGACACACACACACACACACAUUAGCAUUUGUUUGUUGAUGUGUUUUUGGCCACCUGAUGAAUAUAAAUGACCUGAUAAUCAGCCUGAUUUCCAUUCGGUCUCUCUUCAGUCUGACAACGCCACCAUGUCAGACUCUCUCCUGCUGAGGGGUGAUUUUCUUUGUUUGAACCAAUCAGCAGCAGGUUACAGGUUCGGCAGAUAUGUGCUUGGCUCUCUUUAGUCGCUAUUUGCUGAAUUUAUCUGGAUGCUUCUUUGUAAACAGACAUUUUAUCGCUCUUAUCCCGCCGUUCGCUCGCACAUAGGGUGAGAAGUUGUGUGGAGACAACGCUUUUAUUGACUUGUAGGAGUGACACAUUCAGCUAUUAGCAAACAGAGGUGGUAUUGACUCGCAGUAAAUUACAGUAGGUGUUCACAGUAAAGAAAGAGCAUGUCCCAUAAUGCAAAAAGCUGCGUAUUGAUUAGUUUUUAAUAGUUUUUCGAAACAAUAAUGAAGUUUCAAAAACAUAAAUAGUUGGAUUCGCUCGUUUUUUUAGCGACCUUCACAAAGUUCAUCCUCCAAACUCUGUCCCUGCUCUUUUCUGCAAACUCUCCAGCUUUUGCAUCAUCACGCGGUGUCGUCAGGAUCCAGAAAUGUGUCUAAUCAGGACAGUUUCCAGUGUUUGAACUGCGGACCGUCCAUUCAGCAGGUUUCCCUCUUUCAAUUAGAGAAGCCGGAGAGUCAGGGUCAGGCAUUGUGAGGGCUCAGCCUUCAAAUUCAUCCAGCAAAAACCUUUUUAAUUAAAUCAUAUUUCCCUGAAAACAUCAGUAAGGACAUUUUUCCCCCCGCUAAGCCAGAGUGCAUUUAAAAAUAAUCCAUUUUGGAUGCUUUUGAACACAGGCCGUCCUGGCUCUGAGGACGGGGAGCUGCCUGCAGCCGGCUCCAAGUGUUGUUGGGAGAAGAGCUGGACAAACAGCGAGGAACUCAAGGUCAAGAUGCUGAGGCUGCAGGAAUACCAUCAGAGGUAAUGUCUUUCUAACUAACGACGGAAACUUUGGGCAGAGUUCGUGGCAGGUGACAAACUUUUCCCCUCCAGUACAUUUCACUGCGGCGUUGCUCUCGUCCUUUUCACCCUAAAAUUCAAACUAGUGAGAAAAUUUUCACCAAUUAAACGCAGUCUACUGUCUCUCAUCUCACUUAAAGGGAUAUUCUGACGUAAAAUUAAUUUAGGGUCGAACACACCGUAACAGCGAGUUAGACCUCCCUCCAGAGAUGAAUGUUGCCGACCGCUUGUUUCUCUCGUUAUACCAACUUUAGUAACGACCGCAUGAUAGCAAUACAAAGUGGUCUGAGGAGCCAUAAACAAACCUCAACCAAAACUAACUCUAUUUAGCAAAGAGACUAAACACAACUCACCUACUCUCUUCCAGCAGCCGCUUGUUUGUAGAGAGACCUCAGGCCAGUCCAUUAUGGACUACAGCGGGG
Non-coding RNA from Xyrichtys novacula (pearly razorfish), 7889 nucleotides. The record is from the annotation of a GenBank genome assembly. Lineage: Eukaryota; Metazoa; Chordata; Actinopteri; Labriformes; Labridae.